UCUUCAUUUUUAAUCAAUAGUUAUUUUCUUUGCUAAUGCUAGAGCAGUUAAGCUCUCAAAAAUAAUACUAAGUUUCAACUGUGGUGAAUGAUGUGAUUUAUCUUAUAUAUUAGACUAUGAAGCUGCAUAAUAGUUGUAUAUUUUGUCAAUUGAUUAAUUACAUAAGUUAGAUUGCUACAAUCUAUUAUUUAAUAUAACAUAUAAUAUAAACCUUUACAUUUAAAAGUACCCAGGUAAAAUGUAAAUAUUUCUUUAAAUAUUUGUGAUUACCAUUUUUUUCAAUGACAGAUUUUUAAAUUAUGUUAUUUUUCUCUCAAGUAUUUUUAAUGUCUAAUUUAUGUGAACUAUAGAUAUGGCAUAUCAGACAAAUAUUUAAUGUAGUUUUCUAUUGCUUACUAAUUGUUUAUUGAGCACUUGCUUAUGAACAGGUAUUCUCCUGAGGAGUGGGGAUUCACAUCUCAAUGAGAAAGGGUUCUUUAUAGUCAAAGAGUUUAAUGGUCUAGAGGGUGAGAUAAAUAUGUAAAUAAAUACAGUACAAUGUAAUAUACCACAAUAAAGAAGAGAUAUAAAUGAAAUUUUCAUAAAAGCAGUGACUUUCAGUCAGGUAUUGAUAAAAUAAUAGGCUUUUAAAGAAUGUAAGCCCUAUAAAGCUCCUAUAAAGCUCAGCAGUCUCUUGUGCCUAGAAUAAUGCCAGGCAUAUAAUCAGCACUUUUUUUAGUAACUAUUUUUGAAAGUCAAAUCAGUCUUUAGGGAUAAAAUUUAAAAGCUCACUCCCAGAAGCAGAAACAACAUGAGCAAAAUAUGAAGAUAUUGAAAAGUAUGGCAUAUGUGAAGACAUGAUUUAAUUUAUUAUGGUUGGAAUGAGGGAUUGAAGAAGAUGUACAAAAUAUAAUAAAUAAGAAUAUGCACUUUGGGUCAGUCAGAUUGGAAUUUGAAUCUUUAAAAAAAUUCUUUUGUAGUGCUAGGGAUAGAACCCAGGGCCUUGUACAAUGCUAGUUAAGUGCAGUACCACUGAGCUAUAUCCCCAGCCCUGGAGUUCAAGUCUUGACUUCAUUUCACACUACUUUGAGAUUGUAGGUAAAAUGCUGAAUGUCUUUCUCCUUUAAAAUGUAGCUAAUACUGGGCGCGGUGGUGCACCCUGAAUCUCAGCGGCUCGUGAGACAGGAGGAAGGCAAGUUGAAAGCCAGCCUCAGCAAAAGCAAGGGG
Molecule: long non-coding RNA, 1206 nt
Filed under: Marmota monax (woodchuck)
Lineage: Eukaryota; Metazoa; Chordata; Mammalia; Rodentia; Sciuridae
Source: RNAcentral